Molecule: ribosomal RNA, 762 nt
Filed under: Flavobacterium ginsengisoli
Lineage: Bacteria; Pseudomonadati; Bacteroidota; Flavobacteriia; Flavobacteriales; Flavobacteriaceae
Description: bacterial SSU rRNA
Rfam family: Bacterial small subunit ribosomal RNA
Source: RNAcentral
CUUCGGAAUCUGAGACCGGCGCACGGGUGCGUAACGCGUAUGCAAUCUGCCUUUCACAGAGGGAUAGCCCAGAGAAAUUUGGAUUAAUACCUCAUAGCAUAAUGAGUUGGCAUCAGCACAUUAUUAAAGUCACAACGGUGAAAGAUGAGCAUGCGUCCCAUUAGCUAGUUGGUAAGGUAACGGCUUACCAAGGCAACGAUGGGUAGGGGUCCUGAGAGGGAGAUCCCCCACACUGGUACUGAGACACGGACCAGACUCCUACGGGAGGCAGCAGUGAGGAAUAUUGGUCAAUGGGCGCAAGCCUGAACCAGCCAUGCCGCGUGCAGGAUGACGGUCCUAUGGAUUGUAAACUGCUUUUGUACGGGAAGAAACACUCCUUCGUGAAGGAGCUUGACGGUACCGUAAGAAUAAGGAUCGGCUAACUCCGUGCCAGCAGCCGCGGUAAUACGGAGGAUCCAAGCGUUAUCCGGAAUCAUUGGGUUUAAAGGGUCCGUAGGCGGUCUUGUAAGUCAGUGGUGAAAGCCCAUCGCUCAACGGUGGAACGGCCAUUGAUACUGCAGGACUUGAAUUAUUGGGAAGUAACUAGAAUAUGUAGUGUAGCGGUGAAAUGCUUAGAGAUUACAUGGAAUACCAAUUGCGAAGGCAGGUUACUACCAAUUGAUUGACGCUGAUGGACGAAAGCGUGGGUAGCGAACAGGAUUAGAUACCCUGGUAGUCCACGCCGUAAACGAUGGAUACUAGCUGUUGGGGGCAACUUCAGUG